RNAcentral lists this ribosomal RNA (234 nucleotides) under uncultured bacterium. RNAcentral describes it as "partial 16S ribosomal RNA". It matches the Rfam family "Bacterial small subunit ribosomal RNA", at positions 118 to 351 of the family's 1533-position model. The record is from RNAcentral.
UGAGUAACCUGCCCUUAACUCUGGGAUAAGGCCUGGGAAACUGGGUCUAAUACCGGAUAUGACUCCUCAUCGCAUGGUGGGGGGUGGAAAGCUUUUUGUGGUUUUGGAUGGACUCGCGGCCUAUCAGCUUGUUGGUGAGGUAAUGGCUCACCAAGGCGACGACGGGUAGCCGGCCUGAGAGGGUGACCGGCCACACUGGGACUGAGACACGGCCCAGACUCCUACGGGAGGCAG